Molecule: ribosomal RNA, 464 nt
Filed under: uncultured bacterium
Lineage: Bacteria
Description: bacterial SSU rRNA
Rfam family: Bacterial small subunit ribosomal RNA
Source: RNAcentral
GCCCAGACUCCUACGGGAGGCAGCAGUGAGGAAUAUUGGUCAAUGGCCGAGAGCCUGAACCAGCCAAGUCGCGUGAGGGAGUACUGCCCUAUGGGUUGUAAACCUCUUUUGUCGGGGAGCAAAAGCCGGACGUGUCCGGCUGUGAGAGUACCCGAAGAAAAAGCAUCGGCUAACUCCGUGCCAGCAGCCGCGGUAAUACGGAGGAUGCGAGCGUUAUCCGGAUUUAUUGGGUUUAAAGGGUGCGCAGGCGGGCUUUAGGGCGGGGGGGAAAAGGGGGGGCCCCACCCCCGCCGAGCCGUCGGAACUGGGGGCCUUGAGUGCGGCGGAGGCAUGCGGAAUGCGCGGUGUAGCGGUGAAAUGCAUAGAUAUCGCGCAGAACCCCGAUUGCGAAGGCAGCGUGCCGUGCCGCCACUGACGCUGAGGCACGAAAGCGCGGGGAUCGAACAGGAUUAGAUACCCUAGUA